RNAcentral lists this long non-coding RNA (582 nucleotides) under Ursus maritimus (polar bear). RNAcentral's name for it is "lncRNA (ENSUMAG00000008040.1)". Lineage: Eukaryota; Metazoa; Chordata; Mammalia; Carnivora; Ursidae. The record is from RNAcentral.
GCUGCGGUCUCCAGAGGGGCGGUGAUUGGUCCCUGCUUUCCGCCCACCUCCCCGCCGACGCCUAUUGAUUGGUUCUACGUGUGUUUCAAAUAAACCUAACGGCUCGCAUGUCGGAACGGCAAGAGUUUGUAGAGAAGUGCCCGGAUGUGACCCGGAGGUGGCAGUGGUAGCCUCCAGGCUUCUCAGGGAGUGGCAGGUUUUGCAAGUUCCCACCUAAUCUCUGAGAAGAAAGGGAAAUCCGUUGUCCAAAUCUUAAAUCCCAGUAAGAGAAGGAAAACUUGUACUUUGGAAUAGAACACUUCCGACCAUGUCAAACAGGAAAUCCUGCUAUGUUCAAGUUGUCUCCACUUGUCUCAAGACAUGGCUCUCUUGCUGCUGCCCUUGGCCAGGCUUUUGUCCCCUUCCAAGGCAGGUCCUAGCUAAGAUUCUUUACGUUAAAUGUUAGCCUCUUUCUCCAGGCCCCUUCACUGGAAAUACAGUUAUUAAAUUUAUGUGUCAACCUCUGUUUGUAUGGGGCAGACAGAUAAAUCAAAAUAAGGAGUAACUUGAAAGAAUAAACCAUUAAAUAAUUCUUAUGUGUCA